UGUAAGAGGAAUUGUUUUUUUUUAUUGCAAUUGAAACAAAAAACCUUAAAAAAUUAAAUGAGCUAAAAAUUUUGUUUUUUUACAUAGAGGGGCAUUUUUGUCAUUCAAUCAAAAGUUAAACGGAGCCGUUAAACUUAACUGAGAAAAUAACGGAAUUGGGGGCGUGGUGCAAAAAUGUCAAUUUUUUUGGGUGCGCAGUGCAACAAGUCAAAUUUGUUGGGGACGCGGUGCAAAAUGUCAAUUUAUUUGGGGGUAGGUUACAAAUUUCCCUAAAUUUAAACCCCCCCCCCCCCCUUAAUCUUAUUUUACCCCGCCACUUCCACUUUUCAGUUAAUGUGCAUUUGAAAUUGAGAUUAAACAGUUGUAACUUAAAAGUUAUAGCAUUAAGUAUUUGAUAAAUACUAACUGUUGUAAUUUAAAAAUUAUAUUGAUAUGAUUUUUUAUUUAUAUGAUGAAAAAUCUACUAUAUCUUUAAUAAUUUUAUUUAAAAUUUAUAUUUACUACAUGUUAUUAUUAUUUUUUCACAGCAGCUGUAUCUUAAAAGUUAUAGCACCUCAAUUCCAAACAUGACCUAAAAUUUUAAAAUAAUUUUUAGCAUCUAUUAUACUCUAUCUAAUCCCUACUCUACCCUUAAGCAUUGCUGGAUCUCCAUCACCUUCGCUGUCGUCGUGUGGGGUGGUGUUAUACAAAACUUGGAAUUUAGGCAUUGGGGCAUAGUUGUUUAGAGUCUUCCAAGUAUCUGUUCCUUUUACUGAAUGGAUAAAAUUCUUUACUUUAGAACAUCAAAGUUGUUCAAUUUGAUUAAUAUUGCAGUUCGAAACUGUCUAUGUUCUUCAAUAUUUGAAUAGAAUGUUAAAUUAUUAAUGACUCCAUCCAACUGAAAUAAUCAAAAAUAAACUUGAAUGCAACUCCUAUCAAUUUGCCGAGCAUCUUUUAUGGCAUCAUUUUUGCACUGCUCAUCCAUAAUGUGAGAGAAAAUUAUAUUAAUUAGAUCACCCAUUAUUAAAUGACUUCUUUAUCUUUUAAUGAUUUUGUAUCCCUCUUUCAUGAUUACCGAAGUAAAGUAUAUAAUAUUUGAGAUGAGAUAAUCGUUUAAGAGCAUCUCCAAAAAACUCUUCAAAUAAGAUUCUACUUCUUAUUUGAAGAGUCGUAUCAAUAUUAAACACUCCAAAAGACACGUUAAUUUAGAUUCUUCAAAUAAGAUUUGUUUCUCACUCUUCAAUAUUGCCGAGUGAGUUUCUCCCUCUUCUAUUAAUAUUUUAUUAUUAUUUAUUGAAAAGAUAAGACUGCAAUAAUUAUUAUU
RNAcentral lists this long non-coding RNA (1303 nucleotides) under Citrus x clementina. Its description in RNAcentral is "Citrus clementina (C. clementina) long non-coding RNA (CCLE_LNC001620)". The record is from RNAcentral. Lineage: Eukaryota; Viridiplantae; Streptophyta; Magnoliopsida; Sapindales; Rutaceae.